Molecule: ribosomal RNA, 678 nt
Filed under: Escherichia coli
Lineage: Bacteria; Pseudomonadati; Pseudomonadota; Gammaproteobacteria; Enterobacterales; Enterobacteriaceae
Description: bacterial SSU rRNA
Rfam family: Bacterial small subunit ribosomal RNA
Source: RNAcentral
UCGACCGCCUGGGGAGUACGGCCGCAAGGUUAAAACUCAAAUGAAUUGACGGGGGCCCGCACAAGCGGUGGAGCAUGUGGUUUAAUUCGAUGCAACGCGAAGAACCUUACCUGGUCUUGACAUCCACAGAACUUUCCAGAGAUGGAUUGGUGCCUUCGGGAACUGUGAGACAGGUGCUGCAUGGCUGUCGUCAGCUCGUGUUGUGAAAUGUUGGGUUAAGUCCCGCAACGAGCGCAACCCUUAUCCUUUGUUGCCAGCGGUCCGGCCGGGAACUCAAAGGAGACUGCCAGUGAUAAACUGGAGGAAGGUGGGGAUGACGUCAAGUCAUCAUGGCCCUUACGACCAGGGCUACACACGUGCUACAAUGGCGCAUACAAAGAGAAGCGACCUCGCGAGAGCAAGCGGACCUCAUAAAGUGCGUCGUAGUCCGGAUUGGAGUCUGCAACUCGACUCCAUGAAGUCGGAAUCGCUAGUAAUCGUGGAUCAGAAUGCCACGGUGAAUACGUUCCCGGGCCUUGUACACACCGCCCGUCACACCAUGGGAGUGGGUUGCAAAAGAAGUAGGUAGCUUAACCUUCGGGAGGGCGCUUACCACUUUGUGAUUCAUGACUGGGGUGAAGUCGUAACAAGGUAACCGUAGGGGAACCUGCGGUUGGAUCACCUCCUUACCUUAAAGAA